Molecule: ribosomal RNA, 94 nt
Filed under: uncultured bacterium
Lineage: Bacteria
Description: partial 16S ribosomal RNA
Rfam family: Bacterial small subunit ribosomal RNA
Source: RNAcentral
CGUGAGGACGAAGGCCUUCGGUUGUAAACCUCUUUCAGCAGGGACGAAGCGAAAGUGACUGUACCUGCAGAAGAAGCACCGGCUAACUACGUGC